UGGGGAAUUUUGGACAAUGGGCGAAAGCCUGAUCCAGCAAUGCCGCGUGUGUGAAGAAGGCCUUCGGGUUGUAAAGCACUUUUGUCCGGAAAGAAAUCCUUGGCUCUAAUACAGUCGGGGGAUGACGGUACCGGAAGAAUAAGCACCGGCUAACUACGUGCCAGCAGCCGCGGUAAUACGUAGGGUGCAAGCGUUAAUCGGAAUUACUGGGCGUAAAGCGUGCGCAGGCGGUUUGCUAAGACCGAUGUGAAAUCCCCGGGCUCAACCUGGGAACUGCAUUGGUGACUGGCAGGCUAGAGUAUGGCAGAGGGGGGUAGAAUUCCACGUGUAGCAGUGAAAUGCGUAGAGAUGUGGAGGAAUACGAUGGCGAAGGCAGCCCCCUGGGCCAAGUACUGACGCUCAUGCACGAAAGCGUGGGGAGCAAACAGGAUUAGAUACCCUGGUAGUCCACGCCCUAAACGAUGUCAACUAGUUGUUGGGGAUUCAUUUCCUUAGUAACGUAGCUAACGCGUGAAGUUGACCGCCUGGGGAGUACGGUCGCAAGAUUAAAACUCAAA
Molecule: ribosomal RNA, 557 nt
Filed under: uncultured bacterium
Lineage: Bacteria
Description: partial 16S ribosomal RNA
Rfam family: Bacterial small subunit ribosomal RNA
Source: RNAcentral